Molecule: long non-coding RNA, 1002 nt
Filed under: Canis lupus familiaris (dog)
Lineage: Eukaryota; Metazoa; Chordata; Mammalia; Carnivora; Canidae
Description: lncRNA (ENSCAFG00040014010.1)
Source: RNAcentral
UACGACCAAGCGAGCAACCAUGGAUGUAAAGGCGGGAGGAGAGGAAUUUUCUUUCAUUCGGCUCAGUCCAAGAUCUCGGCGAAUACAGGGCGGCCACAGCGAGAGGCUGAGGCCGUCUUAGAAACCAGGCAGGUCCCUCCGGGGAGCCGGCUCGGGACCUCACUUCGCCGGGCAGGCCGCGCCGGGGUCCGCGACCGGACGCACAGGGAGGCGGGGCGGGGCGGGCGGCGGCAGCGACAGCGGCAGCGACAGCGACGGGGAGCCGACGGCACAGGCCGCGGAGAAGCAGCACAAAGGGAGAGGCGGGCGCAGGGAGCCGGGGGCGCAGGCGGGCCGCGGGGGCAGGCCCACCGCGAGGGGCUCGGCUCGGCUCGCUCGCCGCCGCCCGGCCGGAACCUGCGAAGCGGCCCCGCGGAGGCCGGGCCCCCGCCGCCGCCGCCGCCCGCCGCCGCCCGAGCCCCCGGCCGCCAGCCAGCGCCCGCCAGGCCCCACUCACCCGCGACCACCGGGUCCAAGCGGCAGCGUCUGCGCUUUCGGAGGAGGGACGUGCUGCCGCCAAGCCAAUGGGCACCGCAAGAGAUGCUGACAAAGGCGCGCUUGCGUCACCGGGGGCGCGCGGGACGUAACGCUGACGCCCAGGCGGAGGCGCGGGCUGGCUUCCGGCGCGGCCGCCGUGAGCUCAGAGCCCGCGGCCGGCGAGGCAGAGCUUGGCUGUCCUGCGCGGACCACGAACCCGGGACGAGGAGGGACGGACAGCGCCGGUGCAGGGGGCCCGCCGCCGUAGGGGCCGCCGCCGUAGGGGCCGCUGUGCUCAGCUGCUCACUCUGCUGGUUGGAAGUUCGAGGGCAGGGAAUCGUCCUAAGCGCUCGUCCACCCCGGGCGGCUGAGCGCACUGCUGGGUUUGGCGGCGGCGGCGGCUUUACUCAGUUCUGCUUAGUAUGGACCCAAGAGAAAUGGGAACACGCAGGACCGAUCUGCCCUCAAGAUACCGCGCAAAGUUAA